CUGGCGGCGUAGCCUAACACAUGCAAGUCGAACGGACCAUGGAAAUGAUUAGCUUGCUAUGAAGUUUCCGGAAGGUUAGUGGCGGACGGGUGAGUAACGCGUGGGCAACCUGCCCUGUACUGGGGGAUAGCAGCUGGAAACGGCUGGUAAUACCGCAUAAGCGCACAGUACCGCAUGGUACAGUGUGAAAAGCUCCGACGGUACAGGAUGGGCCCGCGUCCGAUUAGCCAGUUGGCGGGUAACGGCCCACCAAAGCGACGAUCGGUAGCCGGCCUGAGAGGGUGAUCGGCCACAUUGGGACUGAGACACGGCCCAAACUCCUACGGGAGGCAGCAGUGGGGAAUAUUGGGCAAUGGGGGGAACCCUGACCCAGCAACGCCGCGUGAGGGAAGAAGGUUUUCGGAUCGUAAACCUCUGUCCUUGGCGAAGAGGAAGAGACGGUAGCCAAGGAGGAAGCCCCGGCUAACUACGUGCCAGCAGCAGC
Molecule: ribosomal RNA, 484 nt
Filed under: uncultured bacterium
Lineage: Bacteria
Description: bacterial SSU rRNA
Rfam family: Bacterial small subunit ribosomal RNA
Source: RNAcentral